Molecule: ribosomal RNA, 461 nt
Filed under: uncultured Propionigenium sp.
Lineage: Bacteria; Fusobacteriati; Fusobacteriota; Fusobacteriia; Fusobacteriales; Fusobacteriaceae
Description: bacterial SSU rRNA
Rfam family: Bacterial small subunit ribosomal RNA
Source: RNAcentral
GAUGAACGCUGACAGAAUGCUUAACACAUGCAAGUCGACUGGAAUUCACUUCGGUGAUAGUACGGUGGCGGACGGGUGAGUAACGCGUAAAGAACUUGCCCUCUAGACUGGGACAACUGUUGGAAACGACAGCUAAUACCAGAUAUUAUGAGAACCUCGCAUGGGGAACUUAUGAAAGCUAUAUGCGCUAGAGGAGAGCUUUGCGUGCCAUUAGGUAGUUGGUAGGGUAAUGGCCUACCAAGCCGACGAUGGCUAGCCGGCCUGAGAGGGUGAACGGCCACAAGGGGACUGAGACACGGCCCUUACUCCUACGGGAGGCAGCAGUGGGGAAUAUUGGACAAUGGACCAAAAGUCUGAUCCAGCAAUUCUGUGUGCACGAUGAAGGUUUUCGGAUCGUAAAGUGCUUUCAACUGGGAAGAAAAAAAUGACGGUACCAGUAGAAGAAGCGACGGCUAAAUACG